UUUUAUUCUAUGAUGAUAUCUUCAUACCAACUCAGAAUAAUUAUGUUGAUAUUGACACGCCAUGCACUACCAUCUGAUUAAAAU
This is a small nucleolar RNA of Drosophila navojoa, 84 nucleotides long. The record is from RefSeq and is a predicted model, not a curated record. Lineage: Eukaryota; Metazoa; Arthropoda; Insecta; Diptera; Drosophilidae.